This 274-nucleotide ribosomal RNA is filed under the name uncultured bacterium. Its description in RNAcentral is "partial 16S ribosomal RNA". It matches the Rfam family "Bacterial small subunit ribosomal RNA", at positions 523 to 796 of the family's 1533-position model. The record is from RNAcentral.
AUACGGAGGGGGUUAGCGUUGUUCGGAAUUACUGGGCGUAAAGCGCACGUAGGCGGACUGGAAAGUUGGGGGUGAAAUCCCGGGGCUCAACCCCGGAACUGCCUCCAAAACUUCCAAUCUAGAGAUCGAGAGAGGUGAGUGGAAUUCCAAGUGUAGAGGUGAAAUUCGUAGAUAUUUGGAGGAACACCAGUGGCGAAGGCGGCUCACUGGCUCGAUACUGACGCUGAGGUGCGAAAGCGUGGGGAGUAAACAGGAUUAGAAACCCCAGUAGUCC